RNAcentral lists this transfer-messenger RNA (396 nucleotides) under Bacteroidota bacterium. It matches the Rfam family "transfer-messenger RNA". From Rfam's summary of the family: Bacterial tmRNA, also known as 10Sa RNA or SsrA, is named for its dual tRNA and mRNA-like properties. The record is from RNAcentral. Lineage: Bacteria; Pseudomonadati; Bacteroidota.
GGGGCCGACAGGUUUUGACAGCGAGAUGACUUGUUGGGUAAGCGUGCCGAGCGUUGUAAAUAUUGCUCGUAAAUCUAAAUUUUCAACCGUCUUAACUGGCGAAAACAACUAUGCGCUUGCAGCUUAAUCUUUCUUAGAAAGAUGGCUAAAUUCUCUCACUAGGUGGGAAGAACAAGCUACCUUUUAGUGGAUCCUGCUCAAUGAUUCGCUAAGUUUGGUAUCAUCAAAUUGAGAUAGCUCUUAUAAAGCCUUGGUAUAAGAGUAAAAUUAAAAGGCUAAGGAAUAAAUAGGUCGCAUUUUGCCGGUUUACUCUCUAAAAUUAAGUAAAUGCUACGCACGAAGAAAGCUUGAUAAUUCCUUGUUUGGACGAGAGUUCGAAUCUCUCCGGCUCCACAC